Molecule: ribosomal RNA, 351 nt
Filed under: uncultured bacterium
Lineage: Bacteria
Description: bacterial SSU rRNA
Rfam family: Bacterial small subunit ribosomal RNA
Source: RNAcentral
GGGUCCGCACAAGCGGUGGAGCAUGUGGUUUAAUUCGAUGAUACGCGAGGAACCUUACCAGGGCUUAAAUGUAAGUUGCAUAGAUCAGAGAUGGUCUUUUCUUCGGACUACUUACAAGGUGCUGCAUGGUUGUCGUCAGCUCGUGCCGUGAGGUGUCAGGUUAAGUCCUAUAACGAGCGCAACCCCUGUCGUUAGUUACCAGCAAGUAAUGUUGGGUACUCUAGCGAGACUGCCGGUGCAAACCGUGAGGAAGGUGGGGAUGACGUCAAAUCAUCACGGCCCUUACGUCCUGGCUACACACGUGCUACAAUGGCCGGUACAGAGAGCAGCCACUACGCGAGGACAAGCAAA